UUUUUCAUGAGUUUAAGGCAAAUGCUCUGCAGAAACUAUGAAGUUUGCUUCUCUGAGGACAUGUAAAGAGUAUCAUUUGGCUCUGAGGAGAUGGAAGAUUCCAUGUGCAGGAAAAGAAAACACCUGUGAAACAAGCAAGUUCUGAAGCGAAGCUGCAGAAACCUCAGUGCCUCUGGUUCCCCUGCCUCACCUGGCGAAGGUCCGGGCAGGCAGGGGAGCGGGGAGAGGCAGUGCGUCACGGCUGAGGGAGCCCGUGAGGGUAACAUGGUGAGUAGCAGCACGCUACGCACCUGUGGAAAGGAGAGAAAGGAGAACCAGCUGAAAAAAGGGAGACUGUGCGAUGCCGUGAGAAGACCCAAGGAUGCCUCCAUAAGCCUCAUCAGCCUAUUUUGGAGAAGUACUGGAUUCGCCAGCAUUUCCUGAGAGCUGAAAGAAAUCAAGGAAAAAGACGUUGGAGAAAGAGGCAGAAGAACAACACUUUACAUUUUUGAGCAAAUUCUUGCCUCUCUCCCAUAAACCAUCCUCCUCUGGGGACAUCUGAUGUGAUCCAGAAAGAGUGGAUUUUGUUAAAACUAAGGGAAUCUUAACUUCACAGUGUAGAGAGACAUACCAAGUAUUUUCCAAACCUUUUGAAGAAAGGAA
Tyto alba (common barn owl) is the source of this 642-nucleotide long non-coding RNA. RefSeq lists it as uncharacterized. NCBI's taxonomy places the organism in Eukaryota, Metazoa, Chordata, Aves, Strigiformes, Tytonidae. The transcript has 4 exons. The record is from RefSeq and is a predicted model, not a curated record.